GAAAAUUCUGUGGUGCCUCAGCUGUAUCGGUACAGCCCGUUAUCCAAGGGUCAGUAUUGCAUCUUAAAAAUAAAGGGUUGAGAUUGAAUGACCUGAAGACUUGUUGAGCCCUUUGUUAUUAAAUAUCACGUGACAUACACGUGACUGAGAAAACAAGUGAAAAGCUUCAACGAACGUGCGGAAGCCCUGGCGUGCAUUGGACCUGCUUAUCUCUGGGAUCGAUCUCUCUCUCUUGGAAAUCCAAUCCUCAUCUAUGUCCCCAAAUCAGAAUCUGGGCGUCUCACUUCUGCCGACGCUGAGAUGCAACAGUCAUCGGACAUCGCGUGCACUGGGAGCUGCUUCAUCUUUGCAAUAUAUCUCUCUUUCUCUCUCUCUCAAAUCCAAUCCUCAUCUUUGUCCCCAAGUUGGAAUCUGAUGCAUCUCCUCUCUGCCGACACUGCGAUGCAAGAACCAUCGGAGAGGAGACAGAGUGGGUGAUUCAGUCGAGUUCGACGGGGGUGGUGUGAAAGGCCUUUAUUUGGGUAGAAAUUCAACGACUUAGUAUUGAAUCUGGAGUGAGGAUGUCUGUGUUGCAGAGCCUUUGAUGGGAGAAAAAAUUCAACGCCUUGGACUGAAUCUUGGUGAUUUUUUUUCCCUCUUUUAAUAAUUUUUAAUAUUUUAAUAUUUUAAUAUUUUCUCUUAAUUUCAUCACAGCAUCAGACCCACUGUGAUCCUUUCUCCAUCAAACCCAUGUAAUUUUCGUUUUAUGGAGGAUUUGUUUUCUUCCAUGUAUGAGGUUAUGGAUUUGUGCUUCAAAAUAAGGUAUGAAAUUUUGAACAAUCAGGUUGUUGAUUUUCUUUAAAGUCUUGGAUUCUUGAAUUUUCUUCCUACUUUUUUUUUUUUUUUUCAAUUUGAAAUUUGUUUUAUUACUCAAGAACUCUGGUCAUGAUGAAUCCAAUUGGAGUUUUCGGGCUUGUUAGUGGAGAACUGAGGUUGGCAUCAAAAGAGAAAGAUGAGUUCUUUAACUAAGAAACCUCAUAACUGGUUUUGGUUUUGGCUAUAUUAUUUCUUAUGUGCAAUUGCAUAUAGUUUUUAUGCAAUUGCAUACAGUUUAUGCAAUUU
This 1101-nucleotide long non-coding RNA is filed under the name Prunus persica (peach). RNAcentral's name for it is "long non-coding RNA (PPER_LNC007096)". The record is from RNAcentral. Lineage: Eukaryota; Viridiplantae; Streptophyta; Magnoliopsida; Rosales; Rosaceae.